Zootoca vivipara (common lizard) is the source of this 721-nucleotide non-coding RNA. NCBI's taxonomy places the organism in Eukaryota, Metazoa, Chordata, Lepidosauria, Squamata, Lacertidae. The record is from RefSeq and is a predicted model, not a curated record.
CCGGGGUCGCGGGGCGGGAAGAAGCGGAGGCCGCUAGCCGGGGGGGGGAGCUGGAGGGGUUGCUAAUCGAGGGCCGGGGAGGGAGAGGCCUAGAAGCAGAGCAGUAAGGCCGGGAGAAAGCGAAGAGGAGGAGAUGGCGUCCCUUGGCCCUCCUCCCCCCCCCGCCUUGUGCCCUUCAGAAGAAGAAGAAGAAGAGAAAGCACGGGGGGGGGAGUUGUUUUCCGAGGGGGUGGAUCCUGCUCCUUCCCACCGCCCAACGAUCAGGAGCAAAACCCCUGGAGGAUCCUCCAACUGAUCCCAUUGUGAGUUGGGAGCCGAGGCAGCAGCCGGUAUAGGAGAGCCCGCGGCUGCUAUACUUUCACAGUGUGUGAAACUCCAGGUAUCAUCUAGAGGUAAUUAAUUGGCCACCCGGGGGGUGGUACAGGUAAGCUCCGCCCCACAUGAUCGAUCACAAUAUGUGGCACCACUUGAAUGGCAAUGCCUGUCAACUUUGGAGGGGCAGCCCCUCAAGUGUUUUAUGGUGCGGGUGGGCUGAAGGGAUCUUGGCCCCUAGGAGUUGGCUCCUAUGGCGGUAUUGGGCUGAUGGGAGGAGGAUCCCAGUUUCCUCACUCUCCUCCACUCAACUAUGGGCGGACCUGACUCAAGCCUCCCUUUGGUAACAAGAGCUGAAAGCACCCUGCUCCACGAGAGGUGUUGCAUUUACAGACAUUUCCCCCCACCC